GUUGCAGUUAAAAAGCUCGUAGUCGGAUGUCGGGCUCGGGCAGGCUGUCGGCUUCGGUCGGACGGCAGGCUCGGGUCUUUCUGCCUGAGGAUCCAUCUCAUUCACUUGGGGUGGGGACGCAGGCCGUUUACUUUGAAAAAAUUAGAGUGUUCAAAGCAGGCCUACGCUUGAAUACAUUAGCAUGGAAUAAUGGAAUAGGACUUUGGUGCUAUUUUGUAGGUUUAUGGGACCGAAGUAAUGAUUAACAGGGACAGUUGGGGCCGUUUAUAUUUCGUUGUCAGAGGUGAAAUUCUUGGAUUUACGAAAGAUAAACUUCUGCGAAAGCAUUCGGCAAGGAUGUUUUCAUUGAUCAAGAACGAAAGUUAGGGGAUCGAAGACGAUCAGAUACCGUCCGUAGUCUUAACCAUAAACUAUGCCGACUAGGGAUCAGUGGAUGUCAAUUUGCGACUCCAUUGGCACCUUGUGAGAAAUCAAAAGUUUUUUGGGUUCCGGGGGGAGUAUGGUCGCAAGGCUGAAACUUAAAGGAAUUGACGGAAGGGCACCACCAGGAGUGGAGCC
Molecule: ribosomal RNA, 558 nt
Filed under: uncultured marine eukaryote
Lineage: Eukaryota
Description: SSU rRNA
Rfam family: Eukaryotic small subunit ribosomal RNA
Source: RNAcentral